UUAAGUCCCGCAACGAGCGCAACCCUCGACCUUAGUUGCCAGCAUUCAGUUGGGCACUCUAAGGUGACUGCCGGCUAAAAGUCGGAGGAAGGUGGGGAUGACGUCAAAUCAUCAUGCCCCUUAUGACCUGGGCUACACACGUGCUACAAUGGGCGGUACAAAGGGUCGCGAACCCGCGAGGGGGAGCCAAUCCCAAAAAGCCGCUCUCAGUUCGGAUUGUAGGCUGCAACUCGCCUACAUGAAGUCGGAAUCGCUAGUAAUCGCGGAUCAGCACGCCGCGGUGAAUACGUUCCCGGGCCUU
RNAcentral lists this ribosomal RNA (301 nucleotides) under uncultured Anoxybacillus sp. Its description in RNAcentral is "bacterial SSU rRNA". It matches the Rfam family "Bacterial small subunit ribosomal RNA", at positions 1080 to 1382 of the family's 1533-position model. The record is from RNAcentral. Lineage: Bacteria; Bacillati; Bacillota; Bacilli; Caryophanales; Anoxybacillaceae.